AUUGAACGCUGGCGGAAUGCUUUACACAUGCAAGUCGAGCGGCAGCGCGGGGCAACCUGGCGGCGAGCGGCGAACGGGUGAGUAAUGCAUCGGAACGUACCCAUUUGUGGGGGAUAACUAUCCGAAAGGAUAGCUAAUACCGCAUAAGUCCUGAGGGAGAAAGCAGGGGAUCGCAAGACCUUGCGCGAAUGGAGCGGCCGAUGCCGGAUUAGCUAGUUGGUAGGGUAAAGGCCUACCAAGGCGACGAUCCGUAGCGGGUCUGAGAGGAUGAUCCGCCACACUGGAACUGAGACACGGUCCAGACUCCUACGGGAGGCUG
Molecule: ribosomal RNA, 319 nt
Filed under: uncultured Pseudomonadota bacterium
Lineage: Bacteria; Pseudomonadati; Pseudomonadota
Description: bacterial SSU rRNA
Rfam family: Bacterial small subunit ribosomal RNA
Source: RNAcentral